Long non-coding RNA from Pogoniulus pusillus (Red-fronted tinkerbird), 3197 nucleotides. RefSeq lists it as uncharacterized. The record is from RefSeq and is a predicted model, not a curated record. The transcript is spliced from 7 exons. Lineage: Eukaryota; Metazoa; Chordata; Aves; Piciformes; Lybiidae.
ACAGGGACAGGCGGGUGAGCAGCCCCCUCCCCCCUCCGCCAGCUUCCGGGGCGACGCAGCGACAACUCCGCGCAAGGUGCGCGCUUUCCUCCUCGGCCCCGAAGCCGGGUGGUGAGGGUUGAGGGCAGCUUGGCCCCGGUUGUGGCCAUUUUCCACCAAGCGUUGCUGCCGUCGGAGACCGUAGGGGCCAGUCAGGCCGGCGGGGAGAGAGCUGCCCGCCGCGGCGUUGCGUCACCGCAAGGGCCUCGCCAAAUCCCCGCUGGCACUGCAUCGAGGCUUUUCCCCUUCUCCCCGUCGCUCUCUAGGCCGGGACCCCCGGGGGUGAGGGGAGUCUCUGGCGAGUUAGUGGGGUUUUUUUGUUUGGUUGGUUUGGCAUUGUGUUUGUGUUUUGUUUGGGUUUUUUUGGGUGGAGGGAUGGUGUAUGGUUCGCUGGUACUGCUGUAGCUACGCCCCGCCGGGGAGCCUGGAGUGGCCCCUGGGAGAGGAUGACGGCACGGGGUGGUGUUGCUUUAAUAAAGCAUAGUCUUGUCUUAAGGGAAAUCUGAAAGGCAAGAGGGGUGUCACGGAGGCUGUGAAGCUGGUAUGUUGAAGAGAGUAUAGCUGCGGUUUUUUUUUAAUCGUAGGGCUUUUGUCAAGCACAAAAAAUACAGAUGACCAUAAAAUUAAAUCUAGAAUCAGAUGGUCUACAACACAAGUGUCAUUUAAGCCACUUCUAAGGAGAAUGGCUGUGGCCUACACAAAUGAUACAAGAUCUGAUGCACCGGUACAAAGAAGACAACAUUUCAGCUCUUGUGGUUUAUCUGAGAAAUCAACAGUAAACUGCCUUCAGCUGAAUCUAUCAUUUUAGCUUGAGAAAUAAUACUGGGAUUCUGAUGUUAAUUUGCAGUGCCAAUAUGUCUUAGGCCAGAUGCUUAGUGUUCUAUUCAGACAAUAUUUUCUGGGCUUUCUAAUAAUUCAAAGCAUCUUUUUUUCUAGUUAUUUUCAGCUUUCCUAAUUUUGUGUGUUUAUUUAUUUUACCUAGACAUAUCACAGAUAUGUAUAAAUGAAUAUCACUUAGUCCAGAAUUUGUUUUACUCCUGUUUAACAAUAAAAGCUUGCACAGAUGGCUGCAAAACAGAACCUUCAAACACAGCCAGACUUGUACAUUUGUGCCGAUUUCUUGCUUGAAGGAACUCAGGUUCAAAAUGCUGUGCUGCCAAAUCCAUCCCUGUAGUAAUUGUUUUGACUUCAGUGGAUUGCCACAUGGGAUUGUCUGUGAUAUCUGGCUAAGCUAAGAGGUUCUGACUCAUUUGACAAUAGUAAAAAUGAAGUCUGAAAAGCAUGCUACUGUGUUAGGUGUCGGACAGUUUAAGCCUUUUUGCUGUGGUCUUGAGAGCCACUUUCCAUUCAGAAACCACAAGAAACAAUUAAAAUCUACUUUGACUUAGAUAACAAGCAGUAGAAAAUACUGUGCUCACACUGAGUCACAUACAGGUGCAGACAACAGGAGGUUCAAACAGUCCAGCUGGUUUCCUGAGGAUUUAGAAGUCAUUUCGGCACCGAAGAAGUGGUGUGCAAGCUGCUGUAUUUCUGUCUCUGUGGCAUCAGAAAUGCCAGAAGGAGGAUUUUUAGAACACAGCUGCCUAGAGAGACUCUGAGAACUACAGAAAAUGGGAGGAAAAUUCAGGAUCUUGAUGGCAGAUGAAUAAUGGAAUUUCUCAGCACAAAUAGAAACUGGAAGGAGGAAAAUCUCCUGCAAACAUCACAGAGCUAACAGAUACAUAGAAAGGAUCAUCAAAGUGAAGUUUACAGUUAGAAGAGAAUCUACUCAGAGUUGAAAGAACCAUGGCAUGGAAGCUGAACUAGGAGAGCUCAACUUGCUCAUAUGGGCUGCAUUUUGAAAGGUUCAUCAGGGAUAUUAUCCCUCCCCCACACUGAAGCAUAUGAUCCUGUGAUCCUGGAAUACCAAGUAGACACCCCAUUACAAUAACUGGAAGCUUCACCUAUGGCUGCCCAACAAAGCUGCAAAGCCUCCUCAAAAUUUUGCAAAGACAUCUUGAGCUUCCUCUUUCAAAUAACAGCAAAGCAUGGAAUGAUGAAGUGCUGCCCACAAUUUCUUCUGUGAAACGUCCCAGCCACGUCUCGUCUGAUGCACACAGGAUGAGCCUGUCUACCUGGCAGGCAGAGAGGACAGCCAGCAGCACAGCAGCUGCCCCAGCCCAACUCAGGGCAGGCCAGCCCUCUCCCUCUUCAAGUGAACAGCAGAGAGAGAAGAAUAUACUUCUAGCAGGAUCUCCAUCAUCAGAGCUCCAGGAAGAACUAUAGUGGAAGUAGAAGGCGUAGAGGAACAACAGAAAAUACAAAACAUAGAAGAACAUGGUAUCAUAGCCCAGAACCAAACCAGCUUGCUCUGUCCUUUCAGGCCCUGUCAAGGGACCCCAGAGUACUGCUUUUUACAAAAGCCAGAUUCACAAGUAUCUGCUACUAUUUUGCUUGAAUAAAGAAAAUGUUAUAGACCUGAUGAGUGGGGAGGUUUUGUCCUCAAAUAGAAUGUGAUUUUUGUCAAAAUAUACAAGAGAAUUCGAGUCCCAAAUAUACUGAAAACUAUUACUCAUAUCUGCAUAGGUAGUUCAGUACACUGCUCACUAUAAUACUUUCCAAAAUAGAAAAGUUCUUAAAAUGAAGUUAAUAAAAAAUAUUAACUAUGCAAGACUUAAUGUGAAGUAGCCAAAUACAAUGUAAAAAGCAGAACAGAGUAUCCUUCAGUAAGGAACUUCUUAGUUCCUCUAGUUAGUUUGUUCCUUCUUCCUAGAAACUCUUGCUGUAUAUAGCUGCUGUGGUUUCAUCUGUAUUGUAAAAGGCUUGAUGGUUUGCUCUUAUUAGAAAUGAAGAAGCAACACUGAGUGUUUCAGGUAACACACUUGUGACAAUAGGAAUUAUGACCAGCAUUUAUGUGGCAGUGUUAAGUCUGGUGUUUUCAUGUCACAGUGAUAUUAACAAUAGUAACACUCUUUGCUAAUUUAUCCAUAAUUUGGGGUAAUUCCCAGGGAUACAAGACAUAAAUCUGUAUUUAGGACUUUGGUAGUUUGCUUUACUCUCAUAAAGCACAUUUUCUGCAUUCUCUUUGUUGAGAAGCUCAUAGCUAUGAUCACUAUAAGCCACUGAGAGGCAAUGUAAAUAAUGACAUUCAGCAAAUAAACUAAAUGCUUUUGUUAUGA